GGAGUCCUGUUCUGGUGGAUUCUUACUCACCAGGUGUCUUAGUCUCAUUGGGAAUCAGACAUCGCACAAAGUGAGGAAAAACAACUGAAUGUGGAAGGUGUGAAAAAACAAACCCUGAACACAGCAGACACGGUCUGGAAAGAGGAGCCCUUCUUCUUCCCACCCUUCUUGCUUGCCCCGGAGUCACCUGGAGACAGACAGACACAGGGGAUAUGUCUGUAACAUUCCUCCAAGAAGCCCACUGCUCCACGGUCCCUCCUCCUUGGGA
This is a non-coding RNA of Odocoileus virginianus texanus, 268 nucleotides long. NCBI's taxonomy places the organism in Eukaryota, Metazoa, Chordata, Mammalia, Artiodactyla, Cervidae. The record is from RefSeq and is a predicted model, not a curated record.